This 1343-nucleotide ribosomal RNA is filed under the name uncultured bacterium. RNAcentral describes it as "16S ribosomal RNA". It matches the Rfam family "Bacterial small subunit ribosomal RNA", at positions 28 to 1378 of the family's 1533-position model. The record is from RNAcentral.
GACGAACGCUGGCGGCGUGCUUAACACAUGCAAGUCGAACGGAAAGGCCCUGCUUUUGUGGGGUGCUCGAGUGGCGAACGGGUGAGUAACACGUGAGUAACCUGCCCUUGACUUUGGGAUAACUUCAGGAAACUGGGGCUAAUACCGGAUAGGAGCUCCUGCUGCAUGGUGGGGGUUGGAAAGUUUCGGCGGUUGGGGAUGGACUCGCGGCUUAUCAGCUUGUUGGUGGGGUAGUGGCUUACCAAGGCUUUGACGGGUAGCCGGCCUGAGAGGGUGACCGGCCACAUUGGGACUGAGAUACGGCCCAGACUCCCACGGGAGGCAGCAGUGGGGAAUAUUGCACAAUGGGCGGAAGCCUGAUGCAGCAACGCCGCGUGCGGGAUGACGGCCUUCGGGUUGUAAACCGCUUUCGCCUGUGACGAAGCGUGAGUGACGGUAAUGGGUAAAGAAGCACCGGCUAACUACGUGCCAGCAGCCGCGGUGAUACGUAGGGUGCGAGCGUUGUCCGGAUUUAUUGGGCGUAAAGGGCUCGUAGGUGGUUGAUCGCGUCGGAAGUGUAAUCUUGGGGCUUAACCCUGAGCGUGCUUUCGAUACGGGUUGACUUGAGGAAGGUAGGGGAGAAUGGAAUUCCUGGUGGAGCGGUGGAAUGCGCAGAUAUCAGGAGGAACACCAGUGGCGAAGGCGGUUCUCUGGGCCUUUCCUGACGCUGAGGAGCGAAAGCGUGGGGAGCGAACAGGCUUAGAUACCCUGGUAGUCCACGCUGUAAACGGUGGGUACUAGGUGUGGGGUCCAUUCCACGGGUUCCGUGCCGUAGCUAACGCCUUAAGUACCCCGCCUGGGGAGUACGGCCGCAAGGCUAAAACUCAAAGGAAUUGACGGGGCCCCGCACAAGCGGCGGAGCAUGCGGAUUAAUUCGAUGCAACGCGUAGAACCUUACCUGGGUUUGACAUGGAUCGGGAGUGCUCAGAGAUGGGUGUGCCUCUUUUGGGGUCGGUUCACAGGUGGUGCAUGGCUGUCGUCAGCUCGUGUCGUGAGAUGUUGGGUUAAGUCCCGCAACGAGCGCAACCCUUGUUCACUGUUGCCAGCACGUUAUGGUGGGGACUCAGUGGAGACCGCCGGGGUCAACUCGGAGGAAGGUGGGGAUGACGUCAAGUCAUCAUGCCCCUUAUGUCCAGGGCUUCACGCAUGCUACAAUGGCUGGUACAGAGAGUGGCGAGCCUGUGAGGGUGAGCGAAUCUCGGAAAGCCGGUCUCAGUUCGGAUUGGGGUCUGCAACUCGACCUCAUGAAGUCGGAGUCGCUAGUAAUCGCAGAUCAGCAACGCUGCGGUGAAUACGUUCCCGGG